Molecule: ribosomal RNA, 440 nt
Filed under: uncultured bacterium
Lineage: Bacteria
Description: partial 16S ribosomal RNA
Rfam family: Bacterial small subunit ribosomal RNA
Source: RNAcentral
CCUACGGGAGGCAGCAGUGGGGAAUAUUGCACAAUGGGGGAAACCCUGAUGCAGCGACGCCGCGUGAGGGAAGAAGUAAUUCGUUAUGUAAAGCUCUAUCAGCAGGGAAGAACAGGACGGUAGCUGAGUAAGAAGCCCUGGCUAACUACGUGCCAGCAGCCGCGGUAAUACGCAGGGGGCAAGCGUUAUCCGGAGUUACUGGGUGUAAAGGGAGCGUAGACGGCAGUGCAAGUCUGGGGUGAAAGGCGGGGGCUCAACCCCCGGACUGCUCUGGAAACUGGACGGCUGGAGUGCGGGAGAGGAAAGUGGAAUUCCUGGUGUAGCGGUGAAAUGCGUAGAUAUUAGGAGGAACACCAGUGGCGAAGGCGGCUUACUGGACUAUAACUGACGUUGAGGCUCGAAAGCGUGGGGAGCAAACAGGAUUAGAUACCCUUGUAGUC